Molecule: ribosomal RNA, 164 nt
Filed under: Polygonum delicatulum
Lineage: Eukaryota; Viridiplantae; Streptophyta; Magnoliopsida; Caryophyllales; Polygonaceae
Description: 5.8S ribosomal RNA
Rfam family: 5.8S ribosomal RNA
About the family: 5.8S ribosomal RNA (5.8S rRNA) is a component of the large subunit of the eukaryotic ribosome. It is transcribed by RNA polymerase I as part of the 45S precursor that also contains 18S and 28S rRNA.
Source: RNAcentral
GAAUGACUCUCGGCAACGGAUAUCUCGGCUCUCGCAUCGAUGAAGAACGUAGCGAAAUGCGAUACUUGGUGUGAAUUGCAGAAUCCCGUGAACCAUCGAGUCUUUGAACGCAAGUUGCGCCCGAAGCCUUCGGGCCAAGGGCACGUCUGCCUGGGCGUCACACA